Molecule: ribosomal RNA, 433 nt
Filed under: uncultured bacterium
Lineage: Bacteria
Description: partial 16S ribosomal RNA
Rfam family: Bacterial small subunit ribosomal RNA
Source: RNAcentral
AACGAACGCUGGCGGCAUGCCUAACACAUGCAAGUCGAACGAGACCUUCGGGUCUAGUGGCGCACGGGUGCGUACCGCGUGGGAACCUGCCCUUAGGUUCGGAAUAACUCCCCGAAAGGGGUGCUAAUAACGGAUAAUGUCUUCGGACCAAAGAUUUAUCGCCUUUGGAUGGGCCCGCGUUGGAUUAGCUAGUUGGUAGGGUAAAAGCCUACCAAGGCGACGAUCCAUAGCUGGUCUGAGAGGAUGAUCAGCCACACUGGGACUGAGACACGGCCCAGACUCCUACGGGAAGCAGCAGUGGGGAAUAUUGGACAAUGGGCGAAAGCCUGGUCCAGCAAUGCCGCGUGAGUGAUGAAGGCCUUAGGGUUGUAAAGCUCUUUUACCCGGGAUGAUAAUGACAGUACCGGGAGAAUAAGCUCCGGCUAACUCCGUG